GAUAGCGUGCCGACGCGGUCUAAGCGCUGGAUUAAGGCUCCAGUCUCUUCGGAGGCGUGGGUUCGAAUCCCACAGCUGUCA
This 81-nucleotide transfer RNA is filed under the name Merluccius polli (Benguela hake). It matches the Rfam family "tRNA". From Rfam's summary of the family: Transfer RNA (tRNA) molecules are approximately 80 nucleotides in length. Their secondary structure includes four short double-helical elements and three loops (D, anti-codon, and T loops). Further hydrogen bonds mediate the characteristic L-shaped molecular structure. tRNAs have two regions of fundamental functional importance: the anti-codon, which is responsible for specific mRNA codon recognition, and the 3' end, to which the tRNAs corresponding amino acid is attached (by aminoacyl-tRNA synthetases). tRNAs cope with the degeneracy of the genetic code in two manners: having more than one tRNA (with a specific anti-codon) for a particular amino acid; and 'wobble' base-pairing, i.e. permitting non-standard base-pairing at the 3rd anti-codon position. The record is from Rfam by way of RNAcentral. Lineage: Eukaryota; Metazoa; Chordata; Actinopteri; Gadiformes; Merlucciidae.